This 567-nucleotide ribosomal RNA is filed under the name Triticum aestivum (bread wheat). Its description in RNAcentral is "partial small subunit ribosomal RNA". Lineage: Eukaryota; Viridiplantae; Streptophyta; Magnoliopsida; Poales; Poaceae. The record is from RNAcentral.
AUGAUGAUGGUGAUGAUCAUGAUCAUGAUGGAGGGAAGCUUCUGGGAGGAAGCCGAGAGGCCUCAAGGCCAUGGACAAGGCAUAUUAAAAUCAUUCAGCUGUGCAUCAAGCGCGAGCACUCCUCCCGAUGUCCACGUCGGACUAGCUGGAAGACAAAAAGAGCAAGAGGGAGGAAGUUGCCUCGAGCCCCACCCCUUCCUUAUCCUUUCCUCCAAAAUUUCACAUCGCACGCAACCUUCUCUCGUGACGCCGCCGCCGCCUCCUCUUCUCUCCCCCGAUUCUCCUCGCGACUGCUCCGAGCCCCUCCUCUUCCCUGUGUCGGCUGCUCGACGCGCCGCGCCACCGCUGCGGGAGAAGGUGAACACGAGGAGAUGCAGGGUGGGUGGCCUCGCCGGGAACCACCGGCUGGCCAAGGACCGUGUGGGCUGGCACUUCCCCGCGGCGCCCUCCUUCCCUGACUUGGCCGUCGCCACUGCCCCCUUCCCUCAUGUCGAGGCUGGGCGUGCACAGAGUGGGCGAGUCGAUCGCGACGGAACCAGAGUCACUCGAGGCCGGGGUGCGAGAUGA